Molecule: ribosomal RNA, 89 nt
Filed under: Oreocharis chienii
Lineage: Eukaryota; Viridiplantae; Streptophyta; Magnoliopsida; Lamiales; Gesneriaceae
Description: partial 26S ribosomal RNA
Rfam family: Eukaryotic large subunit ribosomal RNA
Source: RNAcentral
GAAACUUACAAGGAUUCCCUUAGUAACGGCGAGCGAACCGGGAAUAGCCCAACUUGAGAAUCGGACGACAAAGUCGUUCGAAUUGUAGU